RNAcentral lists this ribosomal RNA (253 nucleotides) under uncultured bacterium. RNAcentral describes it as "partial 16S ribosomal RNA". It matches the Rfam family "Bacterial small subunit ribosomal RNA", at positions 524 to 776 of the family's 1533-position model. The record is from RNAcentral.
UACGUAGGGUGCAAGCGUUGUCCGGAAUUAUUGGGCGUAAAGAGCUCGUAGGCGGUCUGUCGCGUCGGAUGUGAAAAUCCAGGGCUCAACCCUGGACCUGCAUUCGAUACGGGCAGACUAGAGUUCGGUAGGGGAGACUGGAAUUCCUGGUGUAGCGGUGAAAUGCGCAGAUAUCAGGAGGAACACCGGUGGCGAAGGCGGUUCUCUGGGCCGAUACUGACGCUGAGGAGCGAAAGCGUGGGGAGCAAACAGG